GGAACUGAUAUAUUUGUCUCGAUACCCAUUGUUACAUCGCGACAUAUCAUGGCGCAUACGCAUUCCAACUGGCACACAAAUCGAAGUGCCCAACAGGACCAUCUGGCUUAAAUAUGUUGCCUGAUUGGGACUACUAAGGUCGGAUGACCUGGAUCAAUAAUCGAAGCACUGCGUGUAUCAGCCUGGAUGCAAAACCGUAUUGCAUGCGACACUCGUGGAACGGACCUAGCUAGUCGUUGCUAUCACCGCCAUGCAUCCCUUCAUCAACAACAGCUCUUUAUCAACAGCAACUAGUGGUAUGCAUUUGCAUGCACGUCACUGCAACCGUAACAUCUGCAUGCUGCUGUUAUUACUGACAUCUCUAGAUUAGACGUAGAUCAUGAAUUUCGUACUGCUUGGACGUGAGAUGAGUGAGCAAUGCGGCAGUGUAAUGGCGACAGUCAUUGUGAAGAAGCCGAAGCUGUGUAUUCCAGCACCUGCACACAUUAGAACACACAUGGAUGGCAGAGCAGAAAAGAGUUCUGGUUGGAUGUGCACGGGGGCAGUGCACUGAUGGCCAUGUGCACCCCUGUGUGUGCAUGUGUGUAUGUGUAUAACACCAGACAAAGAGUACUCGCGGGAGAUGCCGAGGGAGCUGAACCCUUCUUGCAGUAUGUAUGUAUGUAAGUAUGUAUGGUGUGGCACAUCACAGAGGCGGCACAUGGCGGCAGCGGCCACCACAUACACCUCAUCACUUCAUAGAUAUCCAACGUGUGAUGUUGUAUGCGUACAACAUACACGCUUGCGUUUUUGGGGGGUGUAGUCCGAUGAUAACGAUGUGUACAUGUACAUGUAAUAAGCGUCCGGUUAUCAACACAGGGUGGUUACUUGGCUAACACAACGACCUGGCAUUAUUACAAGCGCAAGAGGGUGCCAACCUAGGGGCGGCUUCAGUGUAAUGUCGUACAGGUUGCUCGUCCACUUGGCAUUUCCUUAUCCCGUAGCUACUUGUAUGACUCAAAGUGGGGAAAGGCCUUGAAGGCCGGAAAGAAGAAGUAGCGUACACAGAACCACACAGCCGUACACACAUCUCCAGGUGCGAUUGAUCUGGAUCGAGGGUCACUUGCGGACAGAUAGACAUACCGGUUGAAUGCCUCAAUCGUGGCAAUAGCCUCUUCAUCACCCCAGGGUGUGGCCACCUUCACCAUCAGCCUGCAACACACACACACGCGGAUACAUGUGCGCACGUGAGGCACGCGUUCCUUGCAUUUUUAUUGGCAUGCAAUGUACCAUCAUCCAUGUAUGUAUGACCUAGGUUACACUGUGGGCCGCGAGGGCCGGGGGCCAAAGCCGAAACACAGCGCAGCACACAGCACAAGUCGGUUAGUCUUGUGUGCUCCCGACCCCGACUCAGACUGCCAACACUCUACGCGUAUGUAUGUAUGUAUGUAUGUAUGUAUGUAUGUAUGUAUGUAUGUAUGUAUGUAUGUAUGUAUGUAUGCAUGUAUGUAUGUAUGUAUGUAUGUAUGUAUGUAUGUAUGCAUGUAUGCAUGUAUGACGCUGAUUACACUGUGGGCUGAAAAGCCGGGGGCCCAGGGCCGAAACACAGCGCGGGGGCCGGAUGCACACGGCUGGUUAGCCUCAUGCACUCCGCCCCCGGGUCAGGCCGCACGGGGAACAACGGCCGGCACACAUCAGCGCUCGUUUGGCGCUCCAGCUAGACGGGAUCUAUGCCCGCUGGCUCCUAACAUAAACGAAAUCGCAACCGGGGGGCUCUUCCUGCCGACCGAACGAACCGAGCAUCUCAGAGAGCUCGCAACCAGGACCUGGAGCCCGACGAGUCAUCCCGGGCUGGGGAGGUCACCAAGCUCAAAAAUCCUCACGCAAAAAGAGCGCAAAGAGCUCACACCACAAGACGCCAAACAGCCUCCUGAGACAACUACCCUCCUCCGCCUCUCCCUCACUGGACUAGUCCAGGGGAGAUAGCACCCGUCGGGGGGAUAACACCGCACAAGCCCACACCCUUCCACAGCACUGGGUCUAGCUUGAAAAGUACUCAAACGGGAAAACCCUGCAGUGACGCCGGGCGAUCAAGCCCCCGAAAACCACAGGGGGGAAGGGUAGCCAGCUCGGCGUCCCCCCAUUACCGCUCUACCAAGACGGCCGGUUCCCAAGAUCCUAUCUCACCUAAACGCCACAACACCCGAAACCAGCAACAACGGGGCGACGGGUGCUUGUUGCUGCCCCGUCGCCCCGUUGUUGCUGGACUAUUGCUGCUCACAGGGGUGGCUGGGGCAUCAGGAAAGGUUCCCCUUCCGGGGGGGUCUUCCUGGUCGCUUGAAGGGUGCCCUUCUGGUGGCAUGCCUCUGAUGGCUCACCAUAUUCAAAAGACAGGUCUCACGGAAGGCCGCGAUUGCUGGUAAGCUCCGGCCUCCACAUGUCGGCCAUAGUCG
Molecule: long non-coding RNA, 2432 nt
Filed under: Volvox carteri
Lineage: Eukaryota; Viridiplantae; Chlorophyta; Chlorophyceae; Chlamydomonadales; Volvocaceae
Description: long non-coding RNA (VCAR_LNC000441)
Source: RNAcentral